GGGAAGAAUGUAACAGGAAAUAAUGGAGAAAAAAACUGACAUUUUUACUAACCUUGUUAGCAAACUAAACACAUGCUGUUACUCGUAUCAAAACAUAACCACAAACUAAUGAGAUCUAGCACAUUAUUUUACAGCACCCAAGACUGCUGGCAGUUUGCAAAAUAAAUUAAGAGACAAAACUUACCCCAAAGGAAUUUACAGUGUAAUUUUAGAUACGACACAGGGUAACACAGUGACAAAAAAGAAAAUUAGGGACAGGGAUGAUAAGUGUUAGACAGUGUCAUGGUGUGCAUACUUUAAUGACUGCUUCAGAUCUUUAAAUACAAUUAUGUCCUUUCUCCUCUAGCUCUUUUAAUGCUGCCACUCUUCUUUGACUGCUACUGUGUGAAGUUUUUUGUUAGAAAUACUCAAACAGAACACACAUGAAGGAAGUCCUUUGAAAGCAGAAGUUUCUCCACUGAAGAAAGAUAAUUUCCUCCCAGGAAAUUUCAUAUAUUCUGGUCAGGUUUUUUCAGUUGUUUGUCGAAACACUGCUGUCCUGUUCUGCAAUUUGAUGUCUCUGAAAAGGGUUUCAGCUACUAUCAACUAUUAA
This 592-nucleotide long non-coding RNA is filed under the name Numida meleagris (helmeted guineafowl). RNAcentral describes it as "lncRNA (ENSNMEG00000014618.1)". Lineage: Eukaryota; Metazoa; Chordata; Aves; Galliformes; Numididae. The record is from RNAcentral.